UACGUAGGUGGCAAGCGUUGUCCGGAUUUACUGGGCGUAAAGAGCGCGCAGGCGGUCGUUCAAGUCGCGUGUGAAAGCCCCCGGCUCAACUGGGGAGGGUCACGCGAUACUGAUCGACUCGAAGGCAGGAGAGGGUAGUGGAAUUCCCGGUGUAGUGGUGAAAUGCGUAGAUAUCAGGAGGAACACCAGUGGCGAAGGCGGCUCACUGGACCGGAACUGACGCUGAGGCGCGAAAGCGUGGGGAGCAAACAGG
RNAcentral lists this ribosomal RNA (253 nucleotides) under uncultured bacterium. RNAcentral describes it as "partial 16S ribosomal RNA". It matches the Rfam family "Bacterial small subunit ribosomal RNA", at positions 524 to 776 of the family's 1533-position model. The record is from RNAcentral.